AGGAGAUCCAGGCCACAAUCGUAGCUUGAAACUACGAAUAAGGACGUUCGACUCGUCUACCUCCUU
RNAcentral lists this transfer RNA (66 nucleotides) under Rectidens sumatrensis. Its description in RNAcentral is "tRNA-Ser". The record is from RNAcentral. Lineage: Eukaryota; Metazoa; Mollusca; Bivalvia; Unionida; Unionidae.